RNAcentral lists this ribosomal RNA (242 nucleotides) under uncultured bacterium. Its description in RNAcentral is "partial 16S ribosomal RNA". It matches the Rfam family "Bacterial small subunit ribosomal RNA", at positions 89 to 334 of the family's 1533-position model. The record is from RNAcentral.
UGACGACCGGCGCACGGGUGAGUAACACGUAUGCAACCUACCUUCUACACGGGGAUAGCCCGUCGAAAGACGGAUUAAUACCCGAUAAUACAGGGGCUCCGCAUGGAGAUAUUGUAAAGAAUUCGGUAGAAGAUGGGCAUGCGUUCCAUUAGGUAGUUGGUAAGGUAACGGCUUACCAAGCCUGCGAUGGAUAGGGGAACUGAGAGGUUUAUCCCCCACACUGGUACUGAGACACGGACCAG